UUCCUUUUGUCACAGUUGCUUCUGCACGCAUCAAGGACAUUAAGAUGGCGGUAGAACUGCUGUGUGCUGGUCCCGAGGUUAUCCCCCUUCCCUCCUCCUUCUCUCUUUCUCUCUCUCUCUUUUUUAAUGGCAUUGAUGUUCCAAGGAUACUAAAGGGCUUCUGUCCUCUCCCUUUAUGUCAUUGCCAUACCAGAAUCUUUUUGCUUCCCUUUAGCAGCAAGUAGUUGAUUCCUAUUAGGCUAAAAAGUGUGAAAAGCAAAAACUCAUGGAGCCAGAGGGCUCCUAGAUCUGUAA
RNAcentral lists this long non-coding RNA (294 nucleotides) under Homo sapiens (human). RNAcentral describes it as "non-protein coding lnc-TTLL5-3:1". The record is from RNAcentral. Lineage: Eukaryota; Metazoa; Chordata; Mammalia; Primates; Hominidae.